This 345-nucleotide unclassified non-coding RNA is filed under the name soil metagenome. RNAcentral describes it as "partial contains 5.8S ribosomal RNA, internal transcribed spacer 2, and large subunit ribosomal RNA". The stretch from base 1 to 120 matches the Rfam family "5.8S ribosomal RNA", at positions 35 to 154 of the family's 154-position model. The record is from RNAcentral.
GAUGAAGAACGCAGUGAAAUGCGAUACGUAAUGUGAAUUGCAGAAUUCAGUGAAUCAUCGAGUCUUUGAACGCACAUUGCGCCCCCUGGUAUUCCGGGGGGCAUGCCUGUCCGAGCGUCAUUGCUGCCCUCAAGCACGGCUUGUGUGUCGGGCCUCCGUCCUCCUCCCGGGGGACGGGCCCGAAAGGCAGCGGCGGCACCGCGUCCGGUCCUCGAGCGUAUGGGGCUUCGUCACCCGCUCUUGUAGGCCCGGCCGGCGCUUGCCGACACAUCAAUCUUUUUUCCAGGUUGACCUCGGAUCAGGUAGGGAUACCCGCUGAACUUAAGCAUAUCAAUAAGCGGAGGA